AUGAUCUUCUGGGGGCGUUUAUAUUAUAUAUACCUACAUUAAAUAAUAUGCUGUGGUUUAUUUUCUGUAUUUUAUUUACGCUUUCUAUAUAAAGGAUUUAUGAAAGUUGUCUAGGAAAUUUUAGGGUAAAUUCAAAAGAAACUAGGGUAAAAUGUGUUAAAAAAAACGUAAGUGGAAACACUGCUUUGAAGUUUUCAAAAUUCCAGGGCCGUAAAACAAUCUCAAAAAAAAAAAAAAAGUUUUCAAAAUGUCGUAACGAUUUAAUUUUUUAAAUCGUUUUUUUUUUGGUCUUGGUAAUGUUUAUUAUUAAAAAUCAGCAUGCCUCGAAGAUCGAAAAUGAAAUGCUAUUUCGGAUGCCUUGAUAACGACAAAGGUUUGAUAAAGACAAAAUUUUAUGGAAAAAUUAUAAGGAGCACUGAAAUGUCUGAAACAUGAAAAGAUUGAUGCACUAUAUUUGAACCAGAACGUGUUAUGUAAUAUAUUAAUUUAAGAGAAACUGAUUCAGCAAGGAACGUGAACUCUCAAGGGAUCUUAAUAUUUUUUAAAUAUGUUUAUAAUUGAUAAAUUAAUAAUUGAAAUAGUUCAUAAGAACUAAAUUGACGCCAAUUUUGUUUUAAAAUAGGUUGUUUAGUUCUUAUAGUUAUAGUAUUACGUUUGAAUAGUUGUAAUUAGUAAGUUAGUAAUAUAUGAAAAUACUGAUAUAAAUUUUUGUAAAUAACCUUUUGUAAAUUCUACGAGAAGAUGAUUUUAAUUAAUGAUCAAAAGUCAACGGUCUUUAAAAGCAUUAUUUGCAAUUAUUUAGAUUAACUGUGGAAUAUAUUUGCUAAGUUGUGUUUUCUGUAUGAGCAGAUAUAAAUGAAAAUGCCCAAACAUGAUUAUGUUUCUUACAUUUUCAUUAUGUGAAAUCAAUAUGCUUGUGACUGAGUAUAUUAAUAAUUUAUUAAAACUUAAGUGAUAGACAGCAACCCCUAUGGCACUGCUGAAGUUUAUAAGCACUGGUGACCACUUAUCAUGGGCUGGGUUGCGUGCUCGUCUGCUGUUGAGUGCAAUAAAAAUUUUCGAAACCCUUUCUAUUAUUUAGAUGUAAUAUUAGUGUACAUUUAAUUUGGAUUAAAAGAUAAAUUUACAUUUUAUGUUUGCAUGUGUAUGUUUAUAAUUCAUUUGCAUGUAACGAACACCAGUUUCUUUUGUAACAAAAUGUAAACUAAUGGUUUGUAAUGAAUGUAAUUAACUUUAAGAUGAUUUUCUUUCAAUCUGCUGUUUGUUUCAUCUAGUAUUACCAAAGCUAAAGCAUCAGAAACGUCAGAAUAGAAAUAAUUUAGAUAGGGAAUAAAAGUAUAACUAAUGUAAUCAUGUCUAAGAUUACUAUAAGCGUCAUUAAGUACAAACUAUCAAUAUUUAAGAGUACUUUAAAUCAUCAUUACAUUUUUUAAACAUUUUUUGUUUUUCAAAUCAUGUAAUAAAACGUUUGUGCAGAACAAAAUGUCACAUGUUAUGAACAUGAUUGUGGGUUAAUCGUUUCUUAAAUUUCUAAAUGUUUAUAAGAAUGCAAAGAAUAAUUUAGUAUUCACUUUAGUGUGUGUAUUAUCUCUACAAUGCUAGUUUAAAUGACAAUUAUUGUAUGACGAAGCAUAGGUAGUGUUUAUAGAUGUAAUAUUUUCAUACAAGGUCAUGAUCUGUCACGAUCAACUUUAAGCAAGAACUGCUAUAGUUAAGAAACAAAUUUAUUAAAUUUAAUUCAAAUUGUCUACUAUGUUUGUAAUGGAAAGCUGACAUGUUUAUAUUUCGCACAAAUGACUUAAGUGACAUUGAAUGAUUUGAUUAUCUAGACUUAAUUAACUUUUUCGAUUUAAUGUUAUUAAGUACUCUAGUAGGAUUAAUCUAGAGGAGUUAUUGUUAUUCGAAAUUUUAUACAAUUGUACGUUCAUACUAUCUUUUAACAGUAAAUUGUUUGUAAUAUAGGGAAAUUAAAUAGCUUACAGAGAA
This is a long non-coding RNA of Bombyx mori (domestic silkworm), 1986 nucleotides long. RefSeq lists it as uncharacterized. Lineage: Eukaryota; Metazoa; Arthropoda; Insecta; Lepidoptera; Bombycidae. The record is from RefSeq and is a predicted model, not a curated record. The transcript is spliced from 4 exons.